AUGAAGGUCAACAGUUCGCCUACAACGGGCCGUAGGUCAACAGUUCGCCUACAACGGGCCGUAGGUCAACAGUUCGCCUACAACGGCUUCACGGGCGCGAACCUGACGCUCGAUGGCGCGGCCGUAGGUCAACAGUUCGCCUACAACGGCUUCACGGGCGCGAACCUGACGCUCGAUGGCGCGGCCGUUACGUCGAACGGCCUCCUCUUGCUCACCAACGGUACUAUCCCGAUGAAAGGCCAGGCCUUCCACCCGUCUCCCCUGCCGUUCCGCUCAGAGACGAACGGCACCGGCGCCGUGCGAUCCUUCUCCACUAGUUUCGUCUUCGCCAUCUACGGGCCGUACGAGACCCUGAGCAGCCCCGGCAUGGCCUUCUUCAUCUCCGCUUCCACGGAGGUGCUCUCCACUGCGCUGCCAGGCCAGUACUUGGGCCUCCUCAACAGCAGCAACGAUGGCAACCGGACCGCUCGUAUCUUCGCCGUGGAGCUCGACACGAUCCAGAACACCGACUUCCGUGACAUCAACGACAACCACGUCGGCGUCGACGUUGAUAGCCUCGUGUCGCUCGAUUCCACCGACGCCGGGUACUACGAUGACGGCACCUGGCGGUUCCUGAAACUAAGCCUGAUAAGCCGGAAGGCCAUGCAAGUGUGGAUCACGGUGACCAUGGCUCCCCUCGGCGUCGCCAGGCCCAGGAAGACCCUCCUGAAGACCACAGUCGACCUCUCGGGUGUGUUUCAGAGCACGGCGUACGUCGGCUUCUCGUCGGCAACAGGCAUCCUGAAUACACGCCACUUCGUCCUCGGCUGGAGCUUCGCGCUGGAUGGACUAGCACCGGCACUGGACAUCUCGAGGCUGCCAACCUUGCCAUGGGCCUGGCCCAAGCCACGGUCCAUGUCCAUAUCACUGAAGAUAGUUCUGGCCUUAGCAUCGGUGGCGCUGGUUUCCGUUAUAGGUCUCGGAAUCUACAUAUUUGUAAGACGGCGACGUCUCAAGUACUCCGAGGUGCAUGAAGACUGGAAGGUCCCGUUUGGCCCGAACCGAUUCUCUUACAAGGACUUGUUUCAUGCGACCGAGGGGUUCAGUGACAAGAACCUCCUUGGGACGGGAGGUUUCGGAAGUGUCUAUAAGGGAGUGCUUCGCAAGCCUGUUAUGGAGGUCGCCGUAAAGAGAAUGUCACAUGAUUCAAGGCAAGGAGUAAGGGAGUUCAUUGCUGAGAUGGUGAGCAUUGGUCGCCUUCGACACCAAAAUAUCAUGCAAUUGUUCGGCUACUGUAGGCGUAAGGGUGAACUUCUCCUGGUUUAUGAAAAACUAGAUCAUAAUAGCGCGCGUUGCCGCGCCCGUUCAUUUCUACUAUAG
This 1359-nucleotide ribosomal RNA is filed under the name Triticum aestivum (bread wheat). RNAcentral describes it as "partial small subunit ribosomal RNA". The record is from RNAcentral. Lineage: Eukaryota; Viridiplantae; Streptophyta; Magnoliopsida; Poales; Poaceae.